GAGGGUCACCCUUGCUCUCUCUUCUCUCUCCCUCUCCCCCGUGCGUCCCGCCCUGCACGCCGCUGCUGCUCCCUAGCCAUCACACCUCUCCUCCCUGGCCGAUCUCACUCCUUAUCCCAAUCCAAAGAUGAUGAGGCAUCUGUCUCGGGUAUUGGGGCCGUUGGAUUCUGGUUCUACGCCUCCUCCUCCGUGCAGCUGCUCUGCUCGACCUCUUCAUCGUCGUGGGUGUAGCCAAGCGUCCAUCCAGUUGCAGCUCAGCUUCAGUUCUGUUCUCUGUGCCUACAAGGUGUUUGAUGAAAUGCAAAAAGGCUGACAGGGGAGCAUUGAUCUAUGAAGCGAUUUGUGGCGGGGGAAGCACGGAUUUCGUGCACUAAGGAGGAAGGAGAAGGGCGUGGGAGGCGAGAGAUGUAGGGGAUCAAGAGUGGAUCGAGAGCACUGACUCUAUCGCUCGCUGUGGGCUGCAAGGGGCGUAAAAUCCUUGUGUGGUGUGCUGCGGUGGGGCGAUUGACAAAGCGCCUGUUCCCCUCUCUCUCCCCCUUUCUCUCCCCUCCAGCUGUGAUUUGGCUGAUGUGGAAUGGUUUAUAGCUAGCUGUGUCAGAUCUAUUAUACUUGCUCUUAUGAGGCGUGGUUGUUCUUUCUCAGUUUAUGUCUUUCCUAAAGUUGCUGAAAAAAGAUGUCAAUAUUUGCUAAAAAAAUGUUGCUUAAAGAGUCUGAGAUUGAAUACUGAACUCUCCCAAAUGGGGAAAUCAUUGAAUUGAAGAAACUUGCUGAAAAUUUGGCCCUUCCACGAGAUAAAGAUUUUUUGCAAUUUAGGUACUGAAGAAGAUCGAGAUGUUUUUAUUUGUAUUUGUCUCAUGGGUUCUUAUUUAUAUUUAGGGCAUGUACUGGCAAGGGAGAAGCGACCUCACCUUCAACGGCAUCACAAUCAGGAAAUGGUGACCCCGAGGCCAACUAGGUAGUAGCUCGGUUACAACUACAUCCAUCUCCAUUCGAAAAUCUUACCUCCAGUGUUGGAGCCACACUGCUAUGUCAUUCCGAGCCCAAAUUUGAGCCGGAAUAAAUUUCUUCAUUUUACUGCUUCUCUUUGUCAGAUUACUCACAUAUGCAUCCUUAGUUUGUUAAUGAUCUUAUUAUCCCCGUAAUGAGGCAAAUCCACUCAAUAUUUACUGUCCCAAAACAAAAGAAAUAAUAGAUGGGAAACCAUUGUCUCCAAUUCUUGUGCCCUGGUGAUUGCUUCAAAUGGUUCGCCCCUUGUUCUGCUCGCGUUGCUGCUGUUCUUGUGCCAGUGCUGCCGCCACGGAGGGCUGCUUUGGUUGGUUGAUCAAUUCAUGGUUGUUGUCUUUGCCACCGAAUCCACGUGGGGUUUGGGGGUAGGCGGCUUCGGGUCCCAUGUUAUGCUCACACAUUUCUGGCUGGGGUUUGCAUGUUGCGCGUGGGUGCCGGUGCAGAGCUCCUCCAUGACAGCAUCCUCCUCGCCAUUCUGCCGGUGCAGAGCCUCCUCCAUGACAGCAUCCACCGGAUCCGGCCGGCCCAGAUCCACACACCUCCUCCUUCCUUGGCAGCUCAUGGAGUCCCCCUCAUGCGUCAACAACGCGCGACUGCACUCGGUCUUGCUUCCCGCCGUCCCGCCGACGAGGCCCACCGCAUGCCACACACCAACGUCAUCUUCGUGGCGGUAGAGGCGCAGCUCGGGGCUGGGGACCCUGCCGCGUGUGGGCGCGCCGGUGCCGGCGUCGUCUCCAUGAAUCAGGUGGCCAAAAUCGGCAGCUACAACAUCCCCAACCUAUCUGUGACCAUGAAAUCAUAGGUAUUGGGUCAAGAGGUACUCAUUACUGAGGUAGGUUUGUACUAACAAUGUUGUUUUUUGACGAAUGUCUACCGCUGCGGCACUGACCUCGAUGGCGUGCCACUUCAUUUUCAGCCCAACCCCAACAUUUCCCUCGUCACAUACUGUAGAUUCAAGGGAAUUUAUAAAAUUUAUGCAUUCUAUCUUCACUUUAAGAAUUGCCUUUUAUGUUAUUUGAUUGCUUGACAUGCUUAAAUUCAGUAACUCGAUCCUCUCUGAAUGCUCCUAAGCCUUUCCAAUGUGUUACUGUAGACCUUCUAUCUCAACCAAGAAUUGAAGAAAACAUGACUCACAACCAA
Hordeum vulgare subsp. vulgare (domesticated barley) is the source of this 2145-nucleotide long non-coding RNA. RefSeq lists it as uncharacterized. The record is from RefSeq and is a predicted model, not a curated record. The transcript has 4 exons. NCBI's taxonomy places the organism in Eukaryota, Viridiplantae, Streptophyta, Magnoliopsida, Poales, Poaceae.